This is a small nuclear RNA of Callithrix jacchus (white-tufted-ear marmoset), 106 nucleotides long. NCBI's taxonomy places the organism in Eukaryota, Metazoa, Chordata, Mammalia, Primates, Cebidae. The record is from Ensembl.
GUGCUGGCUUCGGCAGGACCUAUAAUAAAAUUGGGAUGAUACACUGAAGGCUGGCGUGGCCCCGCGCAAUGAUGACACGCAAAGGUGUGCAGCGUUUCGCAUUUUU